RNAcentral lists this long non-coding RNA (1280 nucleotides) under Bos taurus (domestic cattle). Its description in RNAcentral is "long non-coding RNA NONBTAT008994". The record is from RNAcentral. Lineage: Eukaryota; Metazoa; Chordata; Mammalia; Artiodactyla; Bovidae.
GAGUCAUCUCCCGAGUUGGUCCAUGAUCUCAGAUGACUUCCUCUAAACUGGAGCCUGCUUGGGUCCCCACUUCUACUUUUCUGGGACCCAGGGAUCCCCAGCAGGCCCAGAUCAUGAGAGCCCAUGCAAGACCCACAGGGCUCAGGCCCAGGGCUCCCAGAGCCACCUCCUGUCGCCUCCCUCAUCUGUGGAGAGAGGAAUUCGCUGCCUCGCCACACGGACGCCCUUUGUCCGACAGUGCUGAGCCGGCCAGUUAGAGCCCAGGGCUUAUUUCCAACACAACUUUCCUCAGCUGCAAGGGCUGGCUGAAGGGACCUGCACAUUUGGAGACUGUUAGCCUUGCAUGUGGGUUUCCAGGGGCUGCUACAACAAAUUCCCACAAACUGAGGGCUUAAAACUAUAAAAGUGUUUCCUGAGCCCGGGUGCUGGAAGUCUGAGAUCAAGCUGUCAGCAGGGCCUUGUUCCCGGCAAAGCGUCUUGGGGAGAAUCUGCCCCAGGCCAUUCUCCCAGCUUCUGGGGGCUGCCAGCCAUCCCUGACACCCUUUGGCCUGCAGACACAUCACUCCAGUCUUUGCCUCUGUUAUCACAUGGUCUUCCCCUGGAUGUCUUCAUGUUUGUAUGUCCCAAAGGCCUCUUCUCAUAAGGACACCAAUCACUGGACUUAGGGCCUCAACCUGAUUACAUCUACAAAGACAGUCUUUGUAGAUAUGGCCGCGUCCACAGGGGCUGCGGCCUAGGACUUGCACACAUCUUUGGAAGGGACAGGAUCCAACCCGCAGCACUGUGAGUUCAUCAUUCACAACUGACCUCCACCAGAGUGAGACUAAGUGGAACCAAAGCUGAGGCCAAAAGAAGAAAAAUAUGCUGUUUCCUGACAGUUUUCGAGUAGCACUGACUGGCCUAAGAGCGUGGACAACACCAAGCAUGACAUACGCACGCAGAAAGUUACAGUUCUCAAAAGCACAACUGCAUCUAAUGAGAUAUAACCAGGAUACAAAUGUCUUUCUAGUAUUUCAUUUUUUGCUGUCAAUCCAGUUCAAACUCCAAGAUACCACUGAAUGAAGGAUUCUCAACUCAACACUAAAGAGCAAAUCAAGAUUUCCAUUAAAAAAAGAAAAACUGCAUGUUCCCAGGCUUUUAUCCAUUUGUAUACCUAUAAGAAGCAGCUGCAACUUUGCAUACAAGUGAUUUCUUUUUACAUAAAUAAAAUGUUUUUGCCAUUUUUAGUCACUGAAGCAUUAAAAAAAAAUAAAGUGGAAGCUGUUGAAAGGAUAAGCUUU